GACGAACGCUGGCGGCGUGCCUAAUACAUGCAAGUCGAACGCUUCUUUUUCCACCGGAGCUUGCUCCACCGGAAAAAAAAGAGUGGCGAACGGGUGAGUAACACGUGGGUAACCUGCCCAUCAGAAGGGGAUAACACUUGGAAACAGGUGCUAAUACCGUAUAACAAUCGAAACCGCAUGGUUUUGAUUUGAAAGGCGCUUUCGGGUGUCGCUGAUGGAUGGACCCGCGGUGCAUUAGCUAGUUGGUGAGGUAACGGCUCACCAAGGCCACGGUGCAUCGCCGACCGGAGAGGGUGAUCGGCCACAUUGGGACUGUGACACGGCCCAAACUCCUACGGGAGGCAGCAGUAGGGAAUCUUCGGCAAUGGACGAAAGUCUGACUGAGCAACGCCGCGUGAGUGAAGAAGGUUUUCGGAUCGUAAAACUCUGUUGUUAGAGAAGAACAAGGAUGAGAGUAACUGUUCAUCCCUUGACGGUAUCUAACCAGAAAGCCACGGCUAACUACGUGCCAGCAGCCGCCGUAA
This 524-nucleotide ribosomal RNA is filed under the name uncultured bacterium. Its description in RNAcentral is "partial 16S ribosomal RNA". It matches the Rfam family "Bacterial small subunit ribosomal RNA", at positions 28 to 523 of the family's 1533-position model. The record is from RNAcentral.